AUAAAUUCAUUGACGAGAACAAGUAAGCUAAACCCCUUGUCCCCCAGAGAGUUGGCCCUGCGCUGAAAGCCAACGUUCAAGGAUUAGCCGAACAUCCUCUCCGAGAAGGAAGGCUGAAGCGCUUGAAGUAAGCCGACCCGGGAUCCCGCCGUUACAAGGGACGCGUAUGAUGGUACGCAGUACGAGUGUCGCAGCAGCCAAGCCGGUCAUGGUGGUGCCGCGAAACAAGGGUGGUAGCGCGGGAGUCUAAUCUCGUCCCUUAG
This 263-nucleotide non-coding RNA is filed under the name Paenibacillus sp. RNAcentral's name for it is "T-box sequence". It matches the Rfam family "T-box leader". From Rfam's summary of the family: Uncharged tRNA acts as the effector for transcription antitermination of genes in the T-box leader family. T-boxes are found upstream of many aminoacyl-tRNA synthetase genes and some amino acid biosynthetic genes usually in Gram-positive bacteria. The record is from RNAcentral. Lineage: Bacteria; Bacillati; Bacillota; Bacilli; Caryophanales; Paenibacillaceae.